RNAcentral lists this long non-coding RNA (507 nucleotides) under Pan troglodytes (chimpanzee). RNAcentral's name for it is "long non-coding RNA NONPTRT007459". The record is from RNAcentral. Lineage: Eukaryota; Metazoa; Chordata; Mammalia; Primates; Hominidae.
CUAGUCCACCAAAACUUGAAACAACAUCCAGUGACGGCGGUCGUGCGCUCAGGCAGAAGGCGCAGCUGCACGGCGAACCCCCCAAGCCCAGCGCGACUGCGCCGCCCUGGUGGGAGCGGCUCCGGGUACCUGCUGAGCGGGUGGCUGGCUGCGGCGCGGGGCGCGCAGCGCGACUCGGCGUUGGGGGGCUGGGCGCGGGCGUACGAGUGGUAGGCGGUCAGCACCACGCCGCCCGAGUCCUCCACCUCCAUCGUCAGCCGCGCAUGUCUCGGCGCCGGCCCCAGAACAAAGACCGGGACCAGCAUGGACCGGCGCGCCGGGAGGCUGUCAGCAGCUGGGCGGCGCGGCCCGAGCCCUCUUCCAACUGGAGGCUUAUCCUGUGGCUGGGAACAUUUCCUGCCUGGCUGCGAGGAGUGAGACUAAGAAACCAUACCUCAGGCUGAGGAGAGAGGCCAGGUUUGAUAUGUGUGCUCUGGGGAAGAAAAGGAGAAAAUGUGACACUCUCUC